Molecule: long non-coding RNA, 456 nt
Organism: Gallus gallus (chicken)
Lineage: Eukaryota; Metazoa; Chordata; Aves; Galliformes; Phasianidae
Exons: 4
Source: RefSeq, a predicted model, not a curated record
GGGAGGCAUUUCAAUAUCUGAGAGCGAGUGUGGCUGCUGGAUGGAAGAUGGAUUAGGGAUUAGAAGACCCAGGUUGGAGUCACCCUGGGCUCAUACGAGUGCCAGCCACCAAAGAGAGAGCAUCUCUUGCACCUUGGCUGCUUCCUGAGGAGUGCUGGAGAGCCCCUUCUCCAGUUGGACAUAAAUCUUGACAAAAAAUGAUCAACGAAUGGCAACAAUAGCAAUGAAGCCAACACGGCUACCACGGGCUCUUCACCUUGUUCCUAUCUCCAGGAUUUAAUCCAUUGACACACAUUGGAAGAAAAAGAAAUUUCCGCAUCAACUCGGUUGGUGUUUUGAAAAUCUGAAUGCCAAUAAAUAGAAAAUUAAAUCACUAAGAAUUUUUAUGUAGGCAAUGUAUAAAGACAAUCUAGCUGGACAUUUACAUAAAAUAAAUAUCAAACCUUUUCCAUUUUA